Molecule: ribosomal RNA, 902 nt
Filed under: Craterellus tubaeformis
Lineage: Eukaryota; Fungi; Basidiomycota; Agaricomycetes; Cantharellales; Hydnaceae
Description: eukaryotic LSU rRNA
Rfam family: Eukaryotic large subunit ribosomal RNA
Source: RNAcentral
UUCCCUCAGUAACGGCGAGUGAAGAGGGAAGAGCUCAGUUUUGAAAUCUGGCAGUCAUUCACUGUCCGAGUUGUAAAUUGAAGAGAUUGUCAUCCACACUGGACCAUGUCUAAAUUGUAAUGAUCCACAGUCCUUUGAUGGAGUAUCAGAGAGGGUAAUAAUCCCGUCUUUAACGUGGACUCCCAGUGUUUAUGUGAUGCAUUCUCUCAGAGUCGAGUAGUUUGGGAAUGCUGCUCUAAUGGGAGGUAAACUCCUUCUAAAGCUAAAUAUUGGCGAGAGACCGAUAGCGAACAAGUACCGUGAGGGAAAGAUGAAAAGAACUCUGAAAAGAGAGUCAAACAGAACGUGAAAUUGCUGAAAGGGAAGCGUUUGGAGUCAGAUGCGUCUUCAUGGAAUAACGGCUUCUGCAAAGAAGGUCAGUGACUUGAAGAUGGGCCAGCACUCACGUAGACCAUUGGAAAAGGGGUCAUUGGAAUGUAGCUCACUUGUUGAGUGAUUAUAGCCUUGAUUCAUAUACAAUGUGUGUGUUAUGUGAGAUAGACAGCACGACUCACUCAGUCAGUGCUUGCUUGAUUGGCAUAAUGGCUCUAAGCGACCCGUCUUGAAACACGGACCAAGGAGUCUAACAUGUAUGCGAGUAUUAGAGUGAUUGAAACUCUGAAUGCGCAAUGAAAGUGGUCUUUGACUGAGAAUCCUCAGUUAGGGGAGGCAUCAGUACCCCGAGUCUGCUAGUCUUUGACUAAAGAUUUGGAGGUAGAGCAUAUAUGUUGGGACCCGAAAGAUGGUGAACUAUGCCUGAAUAGGGUGAAGUCAGAGGAAACUCUGAUGGAGGCCCGUAGCGAUUCUGACGUGCAAAUCGAUCGUAGAAUUUGGGUAUAGGGGCGAAAGACUAAUCGAACCAU